This 1002-nucleotide long non-coding RNA is filed under the name Rattus norvegicus (Norway rat). RNAcentral's name for it is "long non-coding RNA NONRATT027700". Lineage: Eukaryota; Metazoa; Chordata; Mammalia; Rodentia; Muridae. The record is from RNAcentral.
AGCAAAACCAGUUGUAAAUAUUCCAAAAAGAGAUCCAGUUAGGAAAACUCUUUUAGCAGGGAAGGAAAAAAAAAGUUGUUUUGUAAAAAGAAGUCUUCACACAAAAUUAACCCUUCGUGGUCUGCUUUUUAGAUCCGGGGAAGUUAUUGGGUGUUUCCAGAGGAGUUGUAUCUCUACAACAUCUGGUAUUGGUCACUACUGGGAUUCUUGUAACAUGCCACAAAUUCAGAUUAUGUCACGGAACUGACAGUGUUCUUAGUCUUUUUUACAAAUGAGACCAUCUGCUCUGCUAGGAAUGCUUAAGGUGUCUAUGCCAUUUCGUGCAACCUGUGAGAGAUAAAGUCUCACCCUAGAUAACUUACAUCAUGCUACAGUUCAGUGUGACUUGGGAGACAGUGGUAUUUAACUGUAAAUAGUUUAGGUAAAUUAAAGUCAUACAUUUUAAAGCCAAAAGCCCAGUACACUUUUCUACACCUUCUGAACCAUAAAUUCAUGAGUUUUGUGCAGAAACCAAAUAUUAUAAACUGGAGUGGUAUGACUCAACCCCAAGGAGUAGUGGGGAAACAUACGCUGUCCUCUUGGUUGUAGGAUUGUGACCUCUCUGGAUGGCCAUACAGCUUUGCUGCAUGUGGCUUCCAUCAAGACUUCCAUGUAAUAACUGCCAAUCUUUUAGCUUACACUCCUCAAGACUGGAAAACCAAAGAACUUCUGAGGAUGGAACUCUUCUCUGGAUGGAAAAUCCUCUCUGGACUCAAGCUGAUUUCAUGGAGGCCAAAGUAACACAUAACACAAGUUUAAUCAGGGAUUUCUGCUUAGAAAGAAGAACCACACAAGCACCUGCACAUCCAUCAAAGAAUCCCAGAGUGGGUAAUGAUAAUUAUUAUGUUUAUUAUUUUACUUGUAAAACAGUAAAAUUCAGGCUGUGUUAAGCUCUGUAUAAUAACAUUUAUCCUUACUACAACUCUACAAAGCUAUUGUUGCAAGAAUAAAAUUUGCUUAUUU